This 250-nucleotide ribosomal RNA is filed under the name uncultured prokaryote. RNAcentral describes it as "partial 16S ribosomal RNA". It matches the Rfam family "Bacterial small subunit ribosomal RNA", at positions 524 to 773 of the family's 1533-position model. The record is from RNAcentral.
UACGUAGGUGGCAAGCGUUGUCCGGAAUUACUGGGUGUAAAGGGCGUGCAGCCGGGUCUGCAAGUCAGAUGUGAAAUGCAGAGGCUUAACCUCUGAACUGCAUUUGAAACUGUAGAUCUUGAGUACCGGAGGGGCAAUCGGAAUUCCUAGUGUAGCGGUGAAAUGCGUAGAUAUUAGGAGGAACACCAGUGGCGAAGGCGGAUUGCUGGACGGCAACUGACGGUGAGGCGCGAAAGUGUGGGGAGCAAAC